CCUACGGGCGGCAGCAGUAGGGAAUUUCGCGCAAUGGUCGAAAGCCUGACGCAGCAACACCGCGUGAAUGUUAAGCCCUUCGGGGUGUAAAGUUCUGUCAAUAGGGACGACUUUUGACUGUACCUAUACAGGAAUCACCGGCUAACUCCGUGCCAGCAGCCGCGGUUAUACGGGGGGUGCAAGCGUUGUCCGGAAUCAUGGGGCGUAAGGCGUUCGUAGGCGGGACGGUAAGUCUGAUGUUAAAGCCCGGGGCUCAACUCCGGUUCGGCAUUGGAUACUAUCUAGCUAGAAUGUGGUAGAGGGAAAGGGAAUUCCUGGUGUAGCGGUGAAAUGCGUAGAUAUCAGGAGGAACAUCGGUGGCGAAAGCGCUUUGCUGGACCAUUAUUGACGCUGAGGAACGAAAGCCAGGGGAGCAAAUGGGAUUAGAUACCCCUGUAGUC
RNAcentral lists this ribosomal RNA (440 nucleotides) under uncultured bacterium. Its description in RNAcentral is "partial 16S ribosomal RNA". It matches the Rfam family "Bacterial small subunit ribosomal RNA", at positions 338 to 795 of the family's 1533-position model. The record is from RNAcentral.